UACGUAGGGACCGAGCGUUGUCCGGAUUUAUUGGGCGUAAAGAGCGUGUAGGCGGCCUGGUAGGUCUGCUGUGAAAACUCGAGGCUCAACCUCGAGAUGUCGGCGGAAACCAUCUGGCUAGAGUCCGGAAGAGGAGAGUGGAAUUCCUGGUGUAGCGGUGAAAUGCGCAGAUAUCGGGAGGAACACCGGUGGCGAAGGCGGUUCUCUGGGCCUUACCUGACGCUGAGGAGCGAAAGCGUGGGGAGCGAACAGG
Molecule: ribosomal RNA, 253 nt
Filed under: uncultured bacterium
Lineage: Bacteria
Description: partial 16S ribosomal RNA
Rfam family: Bacterial small subunit ribosomal RNA
Source: RNAcentral